AGAGUUUGAUCCUGGCUCAGGACGAACGCUGGCGGCACGCUUAACACAUGCAAGUCGAACGAGAGAAGAGGAGCUUGCUUUUCUGAUCUAGUGGCGGACGGGUGAGUAACACGUGAGCAAUCUGCCUUUCAGAGGGGGAUACCGAUUGGAAACGAUCGUUAAUACCGCAUAACAUAAUUGAACCGCAUGAUUUGAUUAUCAAAGAUUUAUCGCUGAAAGAUGAGCUCGCGUCUGAUUAGCUAGUUGGUAAGGUAACGGCUUACCAAGGCGACGAUCAGUAGCCGGACUGAGAGGUUGAUCGGCCACAUUGGGACUGAGACACGGCCCAGACUCCUACGGGAGGCAGCAGUGGGGAAUAUUGCACAAUGGAGGAAACUCUGAUGCAGCGAUGCCGCGUGAGGGAAGAGGGUUUUAGGAUUGUAAACCUCUGUCUUCAGGGACGAAAAAAGACGGUACCUGAGGAGGAAGCUCCGGCUAACUACGUGCCAGCAGCCGCGGUAAUACGUAGGGAGCGAGCGUUGUCCGGAAUUACUGGGUGUAAAGGGAGCGUAGGCGGGAUCGCAAGUCAGAUGUGAAAACUAUGGGCUUAACCCAUAAACUGCAUUUGAAACUGUGGUUCUUGAGUGAAGUAGAGGUAAGCGGAAUUCCUAGUGUAGCGGUGAAAUGCGUAGAUAUUAGGAGGAACAUCAGUGGCGAAGGCGGCUUACUGGGCUUUAACUGACGCUGAGGCUCGAAAGCGUGGGGAGCAAACAGGAUUAGAUACCCUGGUAGUCCACGCCGUAAACGAUGAUUACUAGGUGUGGGGGGACUGACCCCUUCCGUGCCGCAGCAAACGCAAUAAGUAAUCCACCUGGGGAGUACGACCGCAAGGUUGAAACUCAAAGGAAUUGACGGGGGCCCGCACAAGCAGUGGAGUAUGUGGAUUAAUUCGAAGCAACGCGAAGAACCUUACCAGGUCUUGACAUCGUAUGCAUAGCUCAGAGAUGAGUGAAAUCUCUUCGGAGACAUAUAGACAGGUGGUGCAUGGUUGUCGUCAGCUCGUGUCGUGAGAUGUUGGGUUAAGUCCCGCAACGAGCGCAACCCUUACUGUUAGUUGCUACGCAAGAGCACUCUAGCAGGACUGCCGUUGACAAAACGGAGGAAGGUGGGGAUGACGUCAAAUCAUCAUGCCCCUUAUGACCUGGGCCUCACACGUACUACAAUGGCUGUCAACAGAGGGAAGCAAAGCCGCGAGGUGGAGCGAACCCCUAAAAGCAGUCUUAGUUCGGAUUGUAGGCUGCAACCCGCCUACAUGAAGUCGGAAUUGCUAGUAAUCGCAGAUCAGCAUGCUGCGGUGAAUACGUUCCCGGGCCUUGUACACACCGCCCGUCACGCCAUGGGAGGCGGUAACACCCGAAGCCUGUAGUCUAACCGCAAGGAGGACGCAGUCGAAGGUGGGAUUGAUGACUGGGGUGAAGUCGUAACAAGGUA
RNAcentral lists this ribosomal RNA (1470 nucleotides) under metagenome. RNAcentral's name for it is "bacterial SSU rRNA". It matches the Rfam family "Bacterial small subunit ribosomal RNA". The record is from RNAcentral.